This 523-nucleotide ribosomal RNA is filed under the name Comispira candida. RNAcentral describes it as "partial large subunit ribosomal RNA". It matches the Rfam family "Bacterial large subunit ribosomal RNA", at positions 1809 to 2605 of the family's 2925-position model. The record is from RNAcentral. Lineage: Eukaryota; Metazoa; Mollusca; Gastropoda; Neogastropoda; Cochlespiridae.
CAAAACAUGGCUUCUUGUGGCCUAAAAAUAAGGAGUCAGACCUGCCCAGUGAAAUUUUUCAACGGCCGCGGUACUCUGACCGUGCAAAGGUAGCAUAAUCAUUUGCCUUAUAAUUGAAGGCUAGUAUGAAUGGUUCGACAAGAACAUAGCUGUCUCUUUUUGACCCAAUAAAACUUUAUCUUAAGGUGAAGAAGCCUUAAUAAAAUUAAAAGACAAGAAGACCCUGUCGAGCUUUAAAACAGUUAGAAGAUAUUAGUUAAUACCCAAUAAAAAACUAACUUCUAAAAAUUUUGGUUGGGGCGACCAAGGAACAAAAAAAGCUUCCUUUAAAAGACAAAACACACUUGUAUUGAUCCUAAAUUUUUGAUUAAAGAAAUUAGUUACCGCAGGGAUAACAGCAUUAUCUUUUUCAAGAGCUCCUAUCGAAAAAAAGGUUUGUGACCUCGAUGUUGGACCAGAAUACCCCAAAGGUGCAGAAGCCUUUAAAGGUUGGUCUGUUCGACCAUUAAAAUUCUACGUGAUC